GUGGGGAAUUUUGGACAAUGGGCGCAAGCCUGAUCCAGCCAUUCCGCGUGCAGGAUGAAGGCCUUCGGGUUGUAAACUGCUUUUGUACGGAACGAAAAGCCUCUGGUUAAUACCCGGGGGUCAUGACGGUACCGUAAGAAUAAGCACCGGCUAACUACGUGCCAGCAGCCGCGGUAAUACGUAGGGUGCGAGCGUUAAUCGGAAUUACUGGGCGUAAAGCGUGCGCAGGCGGUGAUGUAAGACAGUUGUGAAAUCCCCGGGCUCAACCUGGGAACUGCAUCUGUGACUGCAUUGCUGGAGUGCGGCAGAGGGGGAUGGAAUUCCGCGUGUAGCAGUGAAAUGCGUAGAUAUGCGGAGGAACACCGAUGGCGAAGGCAAUCCCCUGGGCCUGCACUGACGCUCAUGCACGAAAGCGUGGGGAGCAAACAGGAUUAGAUACCCCAGUAGUCC
Molecule: ribosomal RNA, 450 nt
Filed under: uncultured bacterium
Lineage: Bacteria
Description: partial 16S ribosomal RNA
Rfam family: Bacterial small subunit ribosomal RNA
Source: RNAcentral